AUCCAGCUGACGAGUCUUCAAGUAGGACGAAGCGCGCGUCCUCGAU
RNAcentral lists this non-coding RNA (46 nucleotides) under Schistosoma margrebowiei. The record is from RNAcentral. Lineage: Eukaryota; Metazoa; Platyhelminthes; Trematoda; Strigeidida; Schistosomatidae.